Molecule: long non-coding RNA, 230 nt
Filed under: Elaeis guineensis (African oil palm)
Lineage: Eukaryota; Viridiplantae; Streptophyta; Magnoliopsida; Arecales; Arecaceae
Description: long non-coding RNA (EGUI_LNC054510)
Source: RNAcentral
ACUCCGAUAUCUCUACACCAUAGAUUUAAGACUCAUCUAUUCUAAAGAAGUGAUUGUGCAUCAAUCUUUCAGGAUCAAACACUGUCCCCGUGAUGAUCCUAUGAUCGAGAGUAAUUUAUAGAUAAAUUAUAGUAAUACAUGUCUUAAAUUUUCAACUCUUGAGAAAAUAUGUCAUUAUAUCCAUUAACUCAAUAGAUAAUUUAGAGAACUUAAUAACACAGAUCUGAAUG